Molecule: ribosomal RNA, 468 nt
Filed under: uncultured bacterium
Lineage: Bacteria
Description: partial 16S ribosomal RNA
Rfam family: Bacterial small subunit ribosomal RNA
Source: RNAcentral
UCCUCCCCCUUUCUUCGUGCUUAACACAUGCAAGUCGAACGGAAAGGCCCUGCUUUUGUGGGGUGCUCGAGUGGCGAACGGGUGAGUAACACGUGAGUAACCUGCCCUUGACUUUGGGAUAACUUCAGGAAACUGGGGCUAAUACCGGAUAGGAGCUCCUGCUGCAUGGUGGGGGUUGGAAAGUUUCGGCGGUUGGGGAUGGACUCGCGGCUUAUCAGCUUGUUGGUGGGGUAGUGGCUUACCAAGGCUUUGACGGGUAGCCGGCCUGAGAGGGUGACCGGCCACAUUGGGACUGAGAUACGGCCCAGACUCCUACGGGAGGCAGCAGUGGGGAAUAUUGCACCAUGGGCGGAAGCCUGAUGCAGCAACGCCGCGUGCGGGAUGACGGCCUUCGGGUUGUAAACCGCUUUCGCCUGUGACGAAGCGUGAGUGACGGUAAUGGGUAAAGAAGCACCGGCUAACUACGUG